RNAcentral lists this small RNA (639 nucleotides) under Oryza sativa Japonica Group (Japanese rice). RNAcentral's name for it is "sRNA Os03g0137050". The record is from RNAcentral. Lineage: Eukaryota; Viridiplantae; Streptophyta; Magnoliopsida; Poales; Poaceae.
GAUCGCGGGCCCCAGCAGGACCUGAAGUAGUCCAUCACCGCGGCCAGCAUCCUUCAUCUCACACUCUCCUCCUCCUCCACGCAGUUUCUUGAUGGCAUCACGAGACACAAGCUAUCUCUCUUAUCUCCACCGUAUUGCUCAACUUAUUCCACCUACUAUCUGCAAUUCAGAGCCAAAAAAAAAAAACAAUCAAUAAGAAGUUUGUGCUCGGAUUCUUGGAAUCUAUCGGGCAAGUGCCGCAGAUCUGGACAGCUAUCAAACCCAGGCACACGAACAGCAAGGAUUGUGCCUCAACUGGUGGCUGCUCUCCGGGAUCGAAGAGAAUCAAGCAAGAAAUUUGUACCCCCAAAAAAAAAAUACUUUUUUCCCUAUAGCCCUCCUCUCCUUUGCUCUCUCUCAGUAGCUCUGCCAAAUCUUGAAGACUUGUUGAAGAAACAGCUCAGAGGUGUCCUCUCUCUCUCUCUCUCUCUCUCUCUCUCUCUCUCUCUCUCUCUCUCUCUCUCAUGCAGAGAACUCCACGCCCAGGUGAGCACAAGCACAAAUCCAAGGAGACAAAAAACCCAUUAAAAGAAGCAGCAAGAGAGAGCUCAGGGCCAGCAAGGCAGGGCUCAGAGAUGGGCUCUACCAAUCCUAAAUUGU